This 451-nucleotide ribosomal RNA is filed under the name uncultured bacterium. RNAcentral describes it as "partial 16S ribosomal RNA". It matches the Rfam family "Bacterial small subunit ribosomal RNA", at positions 29 to 523 of the family's 1533-position model. The record is from RNAcentral.
AGCGAACGCUGGCGGCAGGCUUAACACAUGCAAGUCGAGCGGGCAUCUUCGGGUGUCAGCGGCGGACGGGUGAGUAACGCGUGGGAACGUGCCUUCUGGUUCGGAAUAACUCAGGGAAACUUGAGCUAAUACCGGAUACGCCCUUUUGGGGAAAGGUUUACUGCCGGAAGAUCGGCGCGCGUCUGAUUAGCUAGUUGGUGGGGUAACGGCCUACCAAGGCGACGAUCAGUAGCUGGUCUGAGAGGAUGAUCAGCCACACUGGGACUGAGACACGGCCCAGGCUCCUACGGGAGGCAGCAGUGGGGAAUAUUGGACAAUGGGGGCAACCCUGAUCCAGCCAUGCCGCGUGAGUGAUGAAGGCCUUAGGGUUGUAAAGCUCUUUUAUCCGGGACGAUAAUGACGGUACCGGAGGAAUAAGCCCCGGCUAACUUCGUGCCAGCAGCCGCGGUAA